RNAcentral lists this ribosomal RNA (430 nucleotides) under uncultured Gordonia sp. RNAcentral describes it as "bacterial SSU rRNA". It matches the Rfam family "Bacterial small subunit ribosomal RNA", at positions 354 to 796 of the family's 1533-position model. Lineage: Bacteria; Bacillati; Actinomycetota; Actinomycetes; Mycobacteriales; Gordoniaceae. The record is from RNAcentral.
GUGGGGAAUAUUGCACAAUGGGCGCAAGCCUGAUGCAGCGACGCCGCGUGAGGGAUGACGGCCUUCGGGUUGUAAACCUCUUUCACCAGGGACGAAGCGUGAGUGACGGUACCUGGAGAAGAAGCACCGGCCAACUACGUGCCAGCAGCCGCGGUAAUACGUAGGGUGCGAGCGUUGUCCGGAAUUACUGGGCGUAAAGAGCUCGUAGGCGGUUUGUCGCGUCGUCUGUGAAAUUCUGCAACUCAAUUGCAGGCGUGCAGGCGAUACGGGCAGACUUGAGUACUACAGGGGAGACUGGAAUUCCUGGUGUAGCGGUGAAAUGCGCAGAUAUCAGGAGGAACACCGGUGGCGAAGGCGGGUCUCUGGGUAGUAACUGACGCUGAGGAGCGAAAGCGUGGGUAGCGAACAGGAUUAGAAACCCUUGUAGUCC